AAUGUUCAAGCUCUGUCGAAUAAUUCUGCGUUUGGAGCGGCUGUCGCGCAUAAUACACGCGUUUAGUCGAUUGCCUGCAAAACGCUGCGUUUCGAUUUAUCAUUCUUCCUCAACCUAAACAACGCCGAAGAAGACGACUGUAUUUUGAUUUUCGUCUUCGGUUGGGAAUAUUGGGAUUGAUGUUAUCGUUCUGGCGCAGUGUAGCAUUCUUCUGAUCACGGUCGUGAGCCCCUCCUACACAGACCCUGGUGUCUGUCGGAAGUCACCGCAUAUUCCUGCCUCUUUAUAUUCGAAUGAAGGUGCAGUGGUCCAUGGAAAAGAUCAAUCUCAUGUGUUGGACAGCAUAGUGGAUGUAGCCUGGUCUUGCCUCUCAAGUACUUCCUAGUUGCCAUAUUUGAUUCAGUAAAGCCUGUUCAUGCUAAUUAAUAAAGUUCCUUGCAUUCUGAAAAUGGUGGAAAUUUCUAAAAAGGGUAUUCCACAACUUAA
Long non-coding RNA from Vitis riparia (riverbank grape), 486 nucleotides. RefSeq lists it as uncharacterized. The record is from RefSeq and is a predicted model, not a curated record. The transcript is spliced from 2 exons. Lineage: Eukaryota; Viridiplantae; Streptophyta; Magnoliopsida; Vitales; Vitaceae.